The sequence is a transfer RNA, 73 nucleotides long. It matches the Rfam family "tRNA". Rfam says of the family: Transfer RNA (tRNA) molecules are approximately 80 nucleotides in length. The record is from Rfam.
GAGAAAGUAACUCAGUGGUUAGAGUGUUGACCUGUCACGUCAAAAGCCGCGGGUUCGAAUCCCGUUUUUCUCG